UUUUUCUGAUUAUCAAGUGAAAAUAAGAUUAUUCUUAAAUAAGUUAAGCUUAACUUCAUGUUCUUGACCGGUUUUGCCUUCCUUGUCUAGAAAGUGCUCUUUCUCCUGAGUUGAAACUCGUGACUUAAAAAGUGAAAUAAGAAGUUUGUGGAGAGAGAAGAAAAACUGUUAGAAGCUAAAACUGCUUAAAAUAUGCUUGAAGUUUUAGAAGUGCAAGUGGAAGUCUUCCCUGCUGUUAUAUCACAGUGAAAACACUGAAAUCACUCCUAGCAGACUAAAAGCCAGGAGUAUCCUCCAGUUAAAGAAAAGCUUAAGCAACAAUGGUCAUCUUUUACUUGAGAAAGUUGUCAAAAGCCUUUCCUACCUGAGGAAAUCUGAGUUAUUACCAGUCAUCUUGCAAGUUAUAUCACAACGUAAGACUGGAAAUAAUUUAGUUUAUUUCUGUGUUACAUUUAUAUCUAUGUUACCAGUAAUAUCUUGAAGAAUUGGAAAACUUGCAUGUCAACUUAAAGGUCUUAUUAAAAUCUCUUGAGACAGCCAUUGGGGAAUACCAGGCAAGAAUAGUAACAGCAAACCAGUAGUGAAAUAGUAAUUCUUCCAUGCAUGCCUGAAACAAUGUAAACUGUAAUAUUAAGUAGCUUCCUACUUGUAGCUGUGUAGAAAUAUCAGUUAGACCUUAAAUCUUAUUUGCUACAUCAAGAAAUUUUUCCUUUUAUUGUGAACUGAGCUAAAAUGCCAGCUAAAGGCUUGUACAAAGUUGGAAAAGUAAAAUUGUUUUCCUUGGCAUUUGUAUCCUUUACAGAAAUAAGGAAAAUUUAAUACAUAGAUCAAAUUGUAAGCUUUUAUGUAAAAAAAUUUAUUCAGCAGUACACAGCUUUAUUAAGACACUGUAGAUAUUCUCUGAACACUUCAGAGAAGGAAAGUAAGAACAGUCAUGAAUAUUGUUGUCACAAGACAGGUCCAUUAACUUGACUUAGCAGUAGCCUUUCCACAUAAUACAGUCAGCUCGCUCUAUGGAUGAAGAAAAUUGAUUUUAGUUCAAGCUACCAAGCAGAGCUUAAAAGAAAUAGGUAUGCUUGACUCUAGGAGUGUCAGGCAGUAUGUGCUACAAAGUUCUUUUCAGCUUUUUUCUCCUUCAAAACAAUUUACUUUCUUUAGCCAGAAGUAAGGUGGUAGUUAACAUUCAAAUACAGUAGAGAAUUAACAGUAGUUCUUAUUCAAUACUGGACAUAGAACAACAGUUCUUAACAAGAAUUGAAGCUUAGCUGUAACUUCGUAGGCUUUUGCAAAUGGGAUAAAGUAUGGCAAUUUUCACACUGCAGCGAUCUAGAAGGAAAAGCUUAUACUUCUGUUCUUUUCCGUGCACAUGUACAUGUUUUCUAAGCACUCUUCUACACAUUUAUCUGUGUACAGCAGCUGUCCCCUCCCUACUCCUCCCUCACCCUUUCUCCUUCCAACUUCUGCCAGCCAACUUAGGCUUAACCUCAGAAGAAAUACACAACUAGAAUCGGCACCCGGAACAUUUAUCUCACAUGAAAGUGUAGAACUAUGUGUCGGAAUGCAAGUCUGCUGGUUUAAGCUUACCACUAGGUUAUGAAUGUGCUGUACUGUAUCUUGAUUUAGUAGUUGAACAUCAAUGUUACGGAGGUCUCCACCAGCCAUACAGAGUGUCUAAAAACAUGAAGAGAAACAGUUUUAAAAACCACUCUGAACGUUUAUAUUUGCACUGUCAGCUUCUCUGAAAACCAGGUGCUGUCCUGCUACACUGCAAAACAUUACUGACUGUUCUUUUGCUUAGCAGCUCAUGUAGGGACAGCAAAAGCUUGUAUUAGUAAUAUAAUAAUUAGUAUUGUAUUAGUCAAUUCACAGUUGAACUACUGUAAGUAUUUUACGUUUUUUUUAAGGAAGAGUUUGAUACCUGUCCAUCAGCCAAGGGAAUGUUUACAAAUGGAACCAUUUUAUCUUGGGGUACUGAUUUACUUCUUAGUACCAUGCCUUGAACUCUUUCACUCGUAGGUACAGUUCUUGAGACAGCUUGUUGUAGUCCAGCACUUUUUGAUACUUUUGGCAUGGCUUUGAAAUUUGUGGCACUGCAGUCAGAGGCAGGAGUCUUAACGGCCUCAUUUACACUUGUGGAAGAGUAAACAGACCUAAAAAAAAUUAAAAAUGGAAGUAGUGAUCUGUUUUAAUUGCCUCCUCAUCUACUCCUAUUGUAAAAGUUCCAGCUUAGAUGAAAAUGGAUGGUGAAUUAGACAAUGUUACAAGUGUUCUAUAGCAUAUCUAGUUUAUGUACAAUGAAGAAGCCCUCAAAUAGAUUACGUGAUAUGCUGGUAUCUAAUGUGACAGGAGAAUGAAAGGUUUAGUCACGUUCAUAGACAGGGGACAGCUGCAAUACCUGAUAUGGGGAUAAUUAAGGCAUCAUCCCCAGCUUUGUUUCAGUGCACAGAGAUUACCUUGGGAAGUUGCUUUUCCAGCAGGAUUUCAUUUUGCUAGUUCAGCUCUCAGGACAUUUGUUACGUAUGGCUGACCUGAACUACAUCUUUCUGUCAGCUACAUGUGCUUUUUUGUUAAAGGUUCACAUUACCACAGUACAUCUGAUACAGGUUAUGGAAGGCAUCUUUAUCAGAGCUCUUACAAGGCUCAAAUUUCAGCUACUUUAUUUGAGAAUGAUUCUGUGCAGGAUUUACCAGUUUAAUUAAGUUAAAUAUUUAAGGUCAGGCUUACCUAGAAAGACUGUGCAGUUUGCUAUUUAAACCAGAGCUCAAUGAAACCAGCGACUUUGAUUUGGAUACCUGAGGACAUGCAUUAGACUGCAGUUAACAGAAGUGGCAUUUUAAGGCAAAAUGACAGAUGUAUGAUAGAUACUUCAGGGAAAAAAUACUGUAACAAUUCCCUGUUCAAACAGAACAGCUACACCCCACACUGCUGCUUAUUACUGUUUUACACAUUUUAGAAACUGCAAAUACACAUUUCAAGUUUUUUGAUGUCAAACUGUACUGAACUUCAGUAUUAACAAAUAUAAGCAAUAGCUUUUCUAACAUACACCUUUCCAACACGUAGCCCUCUUGUAAUUAAGACCUGUAACUCCACAUACAAUUUGUGUUUUCAUUGUGUCAUCUUGGCACAUAGUGUUUGGCUGAGGUACUGCAUUGCACAGGGCUGAGGUGGUAGAAUUAAUACACCUGUGCUAUCUGGUUUACAGGUCAAUGUGGAUAAGAUGCAUAAGUCACCCAAACAUAGAAAAACAUCGAUUUUUAACACAAAGUUGAAUACUAAAAAGUGCCUCAAUUAGUUCCUCAAACCAUCAAGGCUUAUUGGCAAAUCAGGAAAGAACAACUACUUCAGUAUGUGCAAUUCUGUGUGAAUGAGUUACACAAAGAGCAGAUAACAUUUUAUUAUGAAGUUCAUUUGCUAUGCAAAUUAGUCUUGCUUAACUGAAACCACGUUGAAUUUGAAAGAAUUUAUUGUUUAAACAGACAGGAGUCUAUUGGCCUCCCUGGUAGUGGACAGAGCAGGGUUCAUAUAGCACGUCAGAACUGAUUAAACUCUUACCUUGUUUAUUGACAAUAAACUUACUUUUUUAGGUAUUUUCUUUGCAGAUGUGUACUUGGCAUCUUCGUAUUCAACAAUUGUAGUUACCUUAACUAGAAAUACAUUUGAAAGAAAAGACGACGACUCACAAAGAGCAUAAACCACUUCAAACUUUGUUUGACAGCCAUUUAUGCACCCACAGUUACGUAUCAGUUCUGCUAUGUGAUGAUCACUCACCUGGGACAGAGUUCAAAGCAAACUGUUUGUCACAGACAAGGUGACACAUCAAAUAGUUAAAAGGCACUAGAUAACCCUUUAACUCCCAGAUAAAACAGAACCACAUUUAAGUAGUAAUGUCACUUUUAUGGCAUAGUUUGGACUAUAAAGAUGAAUGUUAUAUUCUUUACAAAGCUUAGAGGACAGGAAGUCAAAGCAUAACCUGUAACGUUCUGAGCUCUUCUGUUAUACUGUAGAGCACUGAUAAGUCUCGCAAAUCUGUCUCCUCUCACCGUUUUCAGUGAUAAAUCUAAAGGGCAGGAACUCUUAUCUCAUGUUUUGGAGCACUCGAGAAGCAGCACAGCACAUGAUCGUUGUACUUUUGGUCAUGCACUUCCCCAGAAGUUCUCCAAGCUUAACGUUUGCUUUGCAAACAUUCCACUCAAACCACAACAAAGAGAAAAUUUGAGAGCAAAGCUACAUAACAGAGCUGCUUGCCUUUUUUGCUGUUGGUCCUUGUCACUUUUGGGCUUGGUACGUCUUCUAGAGCACAGUCAGUCUGUAAAACAUUCAUCCAGAAAGACAAAGUCAAUAUUUUUUGCUCAACGGAUACACUUUAUCUCACAGAAAGCAAUAAAUCAAAAGGUUGUGGAAGAAAGUGACAGAAAUGGCUGAACAGCAGUUUGUUUUUCAGAAGCAGCUGUACUUCUCCCUGCAGAUGGCCAUAAAUCUUUAGGCAGUGUUCAUAACUGCACCAUGGCUGGCUGUCUAGCCUUUCUGUCUUCUGUUUAAACAGGCAGAUGAACAAAGUCAUUUGUCUGAAAUCUUUACAGCAGAAAGAGAAGUUUCUGGUCUGUAAGCUGUGAUAAAGUUAAAAAUACACACCGCUGCAGCAGCAAGGGCCACUUCCUCCCCUUCUUGCAAAUCUGUGACAUAAGAAAGCAUAGCUUGUUUACAUUCUGUUGCUUGCAUCAUUAUUAUCUGCAGGUUAUCUUACAGAGUAUGAAAAUGAGCAUGUAAUUCAGAGUUGCAGUUGCCUACAUCGUUCACCUUAGCUAGCAAAUCCUUUAGGACGGCCACUGUGCAAAACAAUGGUAAAGAAACAUCUUGGGCCACCUCAGCAUGUUUCAUCUGUAGAAGAAUAGUAAACUUAGCCGAACAGUACACAGCCUGAAUUGAAAGCAGCAAUGCUCCGUGCUAAUGGAAGCCAAUGCUUUUAGGUAGAGGGUUCCAAGGAAGGCACUAAACACACCUUCUGCAAAGGCUUACAGUCAACUCAAGGUCUCAGAGUCUUCAGUUUGAUUUUACGUCCGUGCCCCCUUUGCUCACCAACAUCAAAUGCUGCGUUCACACGCACUUACUAAGCAAGUCCUUCCUUUUCAUCUUUCUGAUAGCAGUCGGCAUCUUCAGCAGUUC
RNAcentral lists this long non-coding RNA (5163 nucleotides) under Gallus gallus (chicken). The record is from RNAcentral. Lineage: Eukaryota; Metazoa; Chordata; Aves; Galliformes; Phasianidae.